AGUGUUGGCAUCCACCCCAGCCCUGCGGAGAGAGAUGCUUUCUGCUCAUGCACCUCAGUUUGGCCCAGUGAACACCUGCACCACCCAAGUGCCGUGGGGUGGGAUCUGGCCGGUGAUGGUGAUCAGAGUGGCACGGAGUCCAAGGCAUAACUGCAGUAGCAGAUCCCUGGCCCAGGAGCAGCAAACCCAGAAGUCUCCCUGCAGCGAGGUUGUGCUCUACUUCACAGGGAGAGACCACAGAGCUGGGCUCCCAGUGGACCCACAGAGAAUCCUGUGCAGCUCAUUUCCCCAAAAGCUUCUGAGCCCCAGCAUCUGUGUGCUAUUCCUGAGUGGAAAGACCAAGAUGUCUCUUCACAAGCAG
Molecule: long non-coding RNA, 361 nt
Filed under: Homo sapiens (human)
Lineage: Eukaryota; Metazoa; Chordata; Mammalia; Primates; Hominidae
Description: HSALNT0357820
Source: RNAcentral